UACGGGAGGCAGCAGUAGGGAUUUUCCGCAAUGGGCGAAAGCCUGACGGAGCAACGCCGCGUGAGUGAUGAAGGUCUUAGGAUCGUAAAACUCUGUUGUUAGGGAAGAACAAAUUUGUUAGUAACUGAACAAGUCUUGACGGUACCUAACCAGAAAGCCACGGCUAACUACGUGCCAGCAGCCGCGGUAAUACGUAGGUGGCAAGCGUUAUCCGGAAUUAUUGGGCGUAAAGCGCGCGUAGGCGGUUUCUUAAGUCUGAUGUGAAAGUCCACGGCUCAACCGUGGAAGGUCAUUGGAAACUGGGGAACUUGAGUGCAGAAGAGGAGAGUGGAAUUCCAUGUGUAGCGGUGAAAUGCGCAGAGAUAUGGAGGAACACCAGUGGCGAAGGCGGCUCUCUGGUCUGUAACUGACGCUGAUGUGCGAAAGCGUGGGGAUCAAACAGGAUUAGAUACCCUGGUAGUCCACGCCGUAAACGAUGAGUGCUAAGUGUUAGGGGGUUUCCGCCCCUUAGUGCUGCAGCUAACGCAUUAAGCACUCCGCCUGGGGAGUACGACCGCAAGGUUGAAACUCAAAGGAAUUGACGGGGACCCGCACAAGCGGUGGAGCAUGUGGUUUAAUUCGAAGCAACGCGAAGAACCUUACCAAAUCUUGACAUCCUUUGAUCGCUCUAGAGAUAGAGUUUUCCCCUUCGGGGGACAAAGUGACAGGUGGUGCAUGGUUGUCGUCAGCUCGUGUCGUGAGAUGUUGGGUUAAGUCCCGCAACGAGCGCAACCCUUAAGCUUAGUUGCCAUCAUUAAGUUGGGCACUCUAGGUUGACUGCCGGUGACAAACCGGAGGAAGGUGGGGAUGACGUCAAAUCAUCAUGCCCCUUAUGAUUUGGGCUACACACGUGCUACAAUGGAUAAUACAAAGGGCAGCGAAACCGCGAGGUCAAGCAAAUCCCAUAAAAUUAUUCUCAGUUCGGAUUGUAGUCUGCAACUCGACUACAUGAAGCUGGAAUCGCUAGUAAUCGUAGAUCAGCAUGCUACGGUGAAUACGUUCCCGGGUCUUGUACACACCGCCCGUCACACCACGAGAGUUUGUAACACCCGAAGCCGGUGGAGUAACCUUUUAUUAGGAGCUAGCCGUCGAAG
Molecule: ribosomal RNA, 1133 nt
Filed under: Mammaliicoccus vitulinus
Lineage: Bacteria; Bacillati; Bacillota; Bacilli; Caryophanales; Staphylococcaceae
Description: bacterial SSU rRNA
Rfam family: Bacterial small subunit ribosomal RNA
Source: RNAcentral